AGGAUUAACGCUGGCGGCGUGCAUGAGACAUGCAAGUCGAACGGACACUCGGGGCUUGCUCUGAGUGUUAGUGGCGGACGGCUGAGUAACGCGUAGGUGACCUGCCCCGAAGUGGGGAAUAACUGCCCGAAAGGGUGGCUAAUACCGCAUGUGGUGAUGCGUUCAUUCGCAUCAGUAAAGCCGCAAGGCGCUUCGGGAGGGGCCUGCGUCCGAUUAGCUUCGUUGGUGAGGUAACGGCUCACCAAGGCGACGAUCGGUAGGUGGUCUGAGAGGACGA
Molecule: ribosomal RNA, 277 nt
Filed under: uncultured soil bacterium
Lineage: Bacteria
Description: partial 16S ribosomal RNA
Rfam family: Bacterial small subunit ribosomal RNA
Source: RNAcentral